RNAcentral lists this ribosomal RNA (625 nucleotides) under uncultured Ascomycota. Its description in RNAcentral is "eukaryotic LSU rRNA". The stretch from base 257 to 410 matches the Rfam family "5.8S ribosomal RNA". The record is from RNAcentral. Lineage: Eukaryota; Fungi; Ascomycota.
UCUUGGUCAAUUAGAGGAAGUAAAAGUCGUAACAAGGUUUCCGUAGGUGAACCUGCGGAAGGAUCAUUAUCGAGUUAGGGUCUUCAUGGCCUGACCUCCAACCCUGUGUUUAUCAUACCACGUUGCUUCGGCGGGUCCGUCUUUUAUCGGACCGCCGGGGGGUCGCGAGACUUCCUGGCCUGCGCCCGCCGAUGGCCCCCAAAUAUAAACUCUGUAUAACCAUGUUUGUCUGAGUUCUUAAAUUAAAUAAAAACAAAACUUUCAACAACGGAUCUCUUGGUUCUGGCAUCGAUGAAGAACGCAGCGAAAUGCGAUAAGUAAUGCGAAUUGCAGAAUUCAGUGAGUCAUCGAAUCUUUGAACGCACAUUGCGCCCUUUGGCAUUCCGAAGGGCAUGCCUGUUCGAGCGUCAUUAUCAACCCUCAAGCCUGGCUUGGUGUUGGAUUAGACCCCCUACACGGGCGGGUCGAUCCCAAAGAUAAUGGCGGGUCGAGUGAGACCUCGGUACAAUGAGCUCGUUAAACAGCACGUAUCGUCAGGGAUCACUCGGCCUGGCCUAACCCCCAAAUUUUACAAGGUUGACCUCGGAUCAGGUAGGAAUACCCGCUGAACUUAAGCAUAUCAAUA